RNAcentral lists this transfer RNA (78 nucleotides) under Escherichia coli. RNAcentral's name for it is "tRNA-Glu". It matches the Rfam family "tRNA". From Rfam's summary of the family: Transfer RNA (tRNA) molecules are approximately 80 nucleotides in length. The record is from RNAcentral. RNAcentral also lists the same sequence under 2 other names. Lineage: Bacteria; Pseudomonadati; Pseudomonadota; Gammaproteobacteria; Enterobacterales; Enterobacteriaceae.
GUCCCCUUCGUCUAGAGGCCCACAGGACACCGCCCUUUCACGGCGGUAACAGGGGUUCGAAUCCCCUAGGGGACGCCA